CUCUUCUUGUUUAUCUUUUUGAAGUAUAACCUGCCCACUGAAUUAAGUAUUUGAAGGGCCGCGGUAUUUUGACCGUGCAAAGGUAGCAUAAUCAUUAGUCUUUUAAUUGAAGACUGGAAUGAAUGGUUGGACGAGGAAUAUACUGUUUCUUGAUAAUAUUAUUUGAAUUUAAAAUUUAAGUUAAAAUGCUUAAAUUUUUUUAUGGGACGAGAAGACCCUAUAGAGUUUAAUAAAUUUUAUUAUUGUUUUGUUUGUUAUAAAGGAUUAUAUAGUAUAAUUUAUUUUGUUGGGGUGAUAGGAAAAUAUAGAAUUAAUAAACUCUUUCUUUUAUUAAUAUAUUUAUUUAUAAUUUUAAGAUCCAUUUUUGUUGAUUAUAAGACUAAAUUACCUUAGGGAUAACAGCGUAA
Molecule: ribosomal RNA, 407 nt
Filed under: Rothisilpha sp. C04
Lineage: Eukaryota; Metazoa; Arthropoda; Insecta; Blattodea; Blattidae
Description: partial large subunit ribosomal RNA
Source: RNAcentral